This 507-nucleotide ribosomal RNA is filed under the name uncultured bacterium. RNAcentral describes it as "partial 16S ribosomal RNA". The record is from RNAcentral.
GGAGUUAGCCGGUGCUUCUUCUGUGAGUGAUGUCCUUCCUGCCGGUUAUUGACCCGCAGGCCUUCUUCCUCACUGAAAGUGCUUUACAACCCGAAGGCCUUCUUCACACACGCGGCAUGGCUGGAUCAGGGUUGCCCCCAUUGUCCAAUAUUCCCCACUGCUGCCUCCCGUAGGAGUCUGGGCCGUGUCUCAGUCCCAGUGUGGCUGAUCAUCCUCUCAGACCAGCUACGGAUCGUCGCCUUGGUGAGCCGUUACCUCACCAACCAGCUAAUCCGACAUAGGCUCAUCCGAUAGCGCGAGGCCCGAAGGUCCCCCGCUUUCCCCCGUAGGGCGUAUGCGGUAUUAGCCUGGGUUUCCCCAGGUUAUCCCCCACUACCGGGCAGAUUCCUAUGCAUUACUCACCCGUCCGCCGCUCGCCACCAGGGAGCAAGCUCCCCGUGCUGCCGCUCGACUUGCAUGUGUUAGGCCUGCCGCCAGCGUUCAAUCUGAGCCAAGAUCAAAUUCUGA